ACAACGAGUCGCCAACCCGCGAGGGUGGCGCUAAUCUCUUAAAACCAUUCUCAGUUCGGAUUGCAGGCUGCAACUCGCCUGCAUGAAGUCGGAAUCGCUAGUAAUCGCGGAUCAGCACGCCGCGGUGAAUACGUUCCCGGGCCUUGUACACACCGCCCGUCACACCACGGAAGUUGGGAGUACCCAAAGUAGGUUGCCUAACCGCAAGGAGGGCGCUUCCUAAGGUAAGACCGAUGACUGGGGUGAAGUCGUAACAAGGUACC
RNAcentral lists this ribosomal RNA (263 nucleotides) under uncultured bacterium. RNAcentral's name for it is "partial 16S ribosomal RNA". It matches the Rfam family "Bacterial small subunit ribosomal RNA", at positions 1239 to 1500 of the family's 1533-position model. The record is from RNAcentral.